UAAAGCAAGAAAGGGCGUAUGGGGAAUGCCUAGGCACACUCCGGCGAAGAAGGACGCAGCAAACAGCGAAAUGCGACGGUGAGCGGUAAGCACGUGAAGAGCCGUCGAUAUCCGAAUGGGGGAACCCACACGGAGUCAUAUCCGUGUAUCACAUGUCGAAUACAUAGACAUGAUGAGGCGAGACGCAGGGAACUGAAACAUCUAAGUACCUGCAGGAAGAGAAAAUAAGAAUGAUUUUCUGAGUAGCGGCGAGCGAAAGGGAAAGAGCCCAAACCGAUCUUAGGAUCGGGGUAGUAGGAUCAUCGAGAAAUCUGACAGAGGAUCAUAGAGGAAUCACAUGGGAAGGUGAGCGAGAGAGGGUGAGAGCCCCGUACUCGAAAUGAGAGACUGGAGAGAGAUGACACCUGAGUAGGGCGGGACACGAGAAAUCCUGUCUGAAUCAGCCGGGACCAUCCGGCAAGGCUAAAUACGAGAGAGUGACCGAUAGUGAACCAGUACCGUGAGGGAAAGGUGAAAAGAACCCCGGGAGGGGAGUGAAAGAGAACCUGAAACCAUAUGCCUACAAGAAGUCAGAGCCCGUUAAAGGGUGAUGGCGUGCCUUUUGUAGAAUGAACCGGCGAGUUACUGUAUGGAGCGAGGUUAAGCAGGAUAUGCGGAGCCGAAGCGAAAGCGAGUCUUAAGAGGGCGAGAGUUGCAUGCAGUAGACCCGAAACCGGGUGAUCUAGCCAUGACCAGGUUGAAGUUGGGGUAAAACCCGAUGGAGGACCGAACCGACCCCCGUUGAAACGUUGGCGGAUGAGUUGUGGCUAGGGGUGAAAUUCCAAUCGAACCCGGAGAUAGCUGGUUCUCCCCGAAAUAGCUUUAGGGCUAGCGUCGAGGUAAGUUGCGUGAAGGUAGAGCACUGAAUAUGUGAUGGCCCCAUCUCGGGGUACUGAGCAUAAUCAAACUGCGAAUGUCACGCCAACAUGCUCGGCAGUCAGACAGCGGGUGAUAAGGUCCGUUGUCAAGAGGGAAACAGCCCAGACCAUCAGCUAAGGUCCCAAAAUGUAUGCUAAGUGGAAAAGGAUGUGGAGAUGUACAGACAACUAGGAGGUUGGCUCAGAAGCAGCCAUCCUUUAAAGAGUGCGUAACAGCUCACUAGUCGAAUGACUCUGCGCCGAUAAUUUACCGGGGCUAAGCAUACUACCGAAGCUAUGGAUCCCAAGGGAUGGUAGGGGAGCGUUCCAUGAACGGAGAAGUACGACCGAAAGGACGUGUGGAGAUCAUGGAAGAGAGAAUGCCGGUGUGAGUAGCGGAACGUGGGUGAGAAUCCCACGCACCGAAAACCCAAGGUUUCCAGAGGAAGGUUCGUCCGCUCUGGGUAAGUCGGGACCUAAGGCGAGGCCGAAAGGCGUAGUCGAUGGACAACAGGUAGAGAUUCCUGUACCCGUAUAUAUGUGAAGGAAUGACGGAGAGAGGAAGCUGCAGCCAGCGGCUGGAAGAGCUGGUGCAAGCGAGAUAUCGGGAUGGCAGGCAAAUCCACCAUCCGAAACGAGAAGGCGUGAAGCGUACGGAAAGCUACGGCGAGUACGGAAGGCAGUGGAGGAACUUCCAAGAAAAGUUUCUAACGUAAAGUAUAUAUGGCCCGUACCGAAAAUGGACACACAUGGGUGAGGAGAGAAUCCUAAGGUGAGCGAGAGAACUAUAGCUAAGGAACUCUGCAAAAUGACUCCGUAACUUAGGGAGAAGGAGUGCUCAUAGAGAUAUGAGCCGCAGUGAAACGGCCCAAGCGACUGUUUACCAAAAACACAGCUCUCUGCUAAGCCGCAAGGCGAAGUAUAGGGGGUGACGCCUGCCCGGUGCUGGAAGGUUAAGGGGAGGGGUUAACGCAAGUGAAGCCCUGAACUGAAGCCCCAGUAAACGGCGGCCGUAACUAUAACGGUCCUAAGGUAGCGAAAUUCCUUGUCAGGUAAGUUCUGACCCGCACGAAAGGCGUAACGAUUUGGGCGCUGUCUCAGCUGUAGACUCGGUGAAGUCUUAGUACCUGUGAAGAUGCAGGUUACCCGCGAC
RNAcentral lists this ribosomal RNA (2049 nucleotides) under gut metagenome. RNAcentral's name for it is "bacterial LSU rRNA". It matches the Rfam family "Bacterial large subunit ribosomal RNA", at positions 1 to 2076 of the family's 2925-position model. The record is from RNAcentral.